This 119-nucleotide ribosomal RNA is filed under the name Pteropus alecto (black flying fox). The record is from RNAcentral. Lineage: Eukaryota; Metazoa; Chordata; Mammalia; Chiroptera; Pteropodidae.
UUCUACGACCGUUCGCCCCUGAACAAGCCUGGUCCCAUCUGAUCUUGGAAGCUAAGCAAGGUCGUGCCCCAUUAGUACUUGGAUGGGACACCACCUAGGAAGACUAGGUGCUGUAGGAA